CCUACGGGAGACAGCAGUGGGGAAUAUUGCACAAUGGGCGAAACCCUGAUGCAGCGACGCCGCGUGAGGGAAGACGGUCUUCGGAUUGUAAACCUCUGUCUUUGGGGACGAAUUGAGACGGUACCCAAGGAGGAAGCUCCGGCAAACUACGUGCCAGCAGCGGCGGUAAUACGUAGGCAGCAAGCGUUGUCCGGAAUUAGUGGGUGUAAUGGGAGCGUAGGCGGGAUAGUAAGUUGAUUGUUAAAACUUUCGGCUCAACUGGUAGUUGCGAUCAAAACUGCAAGACUUGAGUGAAGUAGAGGCAGGCGGAAUGCGUGGUGUAGCGGUGAAAUGCGUAGAUAUUAGGAGGAACACCAGUGGCGAAGGCGGCCUUCUGGGCUUUAACUGACGCUGAGGCACGAAAGUGUGGGUAUCAAACAGGAUUAGAUACCCGUGUAGUC
This 440-nucleotide ribosomal RNA is filed under the name uncultured bacterium. Its description in RNAcentral is "partial 16S ribosomal RNA". It matches the Rfam family "Bacterial small subunit ribosomal RNA", at positions 338 to 795 of the family's 1533-position model. The record is from RNAcentral.